CUGGGUUUGUCCCCAAACUUAUGUGACCCUGCAGAGACCCUUCGAGAAACCUCAUCUCGACCAAAAGCUAAAGCUGAUUGGUGAGUAUGGGCUCCAGAACAAAUGUGAGGUCUGGAGGGUCAAAUUUACCCUGGUCAAGAUCCAUAAGGCCGCCCGGGAGCUGCUGACGCUUGAUGAGAAGGACCCACGGCGUCUGUUCGAAGGCAUUGCCCUGCUGCAGUGGCUGGUCCGCACUGGGGUGCUGGAUGAGGGCAAGAUGAAGCUGGAUUACAUCCUGGGCCUGAAGAUCAAUGAUUUCUUAGAGAUUCCUACAGACCCAGGUCUUCAAGCUUGGCUUGGCUAAGUCCAUCCGCCACGCUCAUGUGCUGAUUCAACAGUGUCAUAUCCGUGUCCGUGAGCAGGUGGUAAAUAUCCUGUUCUUCACUGUCCGCCUGGAUUCCCAGAAGCACAUUGACUUCUCCCUCUGCUUCCCUAUUGGGGUGGCCAACCCCAGCCACGUGAAGAGGAAGAAUGCCAGCAAGGGCCAGGGUGGGGCUGGAGCCAGAGAUGACGAGGAGGAGGAAUAAGCCUGCUUGUCCCCUCCU
This 584-nucleotide long non-coding RNA is filed under the name Homo sapiens (human). RNAcentral's name for it is "HSALNT0403997". Lineage: Eukaryota; Metazoa; Chordata; Mammalia; Primates; Hominidae. The record is from RNAcentral.